GCCUCCUACCUUUCCUCCUCGCUGGAGUGUUGGUGCUGAGAGGCCGCGGCUGGAGGGAUGGAGAGAAGUAGGAUGAACCUGCCCAAGGGGCCGGACACGCUCUGCUUCGACAAGGACGAGUUCAUGAAGGAAGAUUUUGACGUCGAUCACUUUGUGUCUCACUGUAGGAAGCAUGUCCAGCUGGAGGAACUAAGAGGAGAUCUGGAACUCUACUAUAAACUUCUUAAAAUAGCCAUGGUCGAGCUCAUCAACAAGGAUUAUGCAGAUUUUGUCAACCUUUCCACAAACUUGAUGUGUGUGUUGAGGCUUAUACAAGUUAUUUGAUCAGUUGAAAAGAUUGAAAAAAUCUUAAAUUCACAAAGUUCUAAAGAAACCUCUGCACUAGAAGCAAGCAUGUAAGCAUUUUUUUUUAACUAAGUAGCACAUAAAUUAAUACUUCACAUCCAGUCUAAUUAGGCGGAGACGGCUUAGUUAGAAUUCAUUUCUGAACAAGAAGAAAAUCCAGGUUUGUGGCUAGAAUGUAGCUCCAGGGGAGUGGAGAGCAUGAAAUGGUGAAAUCUAUAACACGUUCCUAUAAACCCUUUGGUUAUAGACCACAGUUCCAACACGUCAUUAUGCUUGCAGUGGAAAAGUAUAUUUGGAAUCACCUUCCCUGAGGACUAGCAAAGUCCUGUUGAUCUUUAAGGCAUACCUACCAUUCAUCUUGGUUUUUCUCCAUCUCAUUUUUUUUCCUAGACAUGCCCAGAGUAUUACCAUUGAUGUAUUUUGCACCAGCAUUAUAUUAUUAUGAAACAGUAUAGGACACAUCCAGUUGAAAUUUACAAACAGGAAAGAAAAAGCUUAUGAAAUAGGAAAAAGAUGAUGGCUCUCUUUGUUAUACUGUGAUUGUCUUGUUCCCCUCCUGGUGUGAAUUUUCAAUCAUCCAGAGUAGAUGAGUGACUCAGAAAAUGAGUAGUGAGGUCCUGUCAGCACCGAGAGACGCACAGUGGUGCAGUGGGAGUAGCCGGGGCUGGUCCUGCACAUACCAGCUGGGCUGCCUGCGUCAAGUUCGCCUGGUGCCCUGCGUGCUCUGUUGUGUGAGGCUAACAGUCCCUCCCCCUGCAGGCGGAGUUAGGUUUCUAAAUUUUAGGAAUUAAGGUUUUAGAUUUGGAAGGAACUUGAGAGACCAUAUGCUCCACAUGUCUCAUGAUGGAGAUUAAGAACGGACACAUCCCAAAGGAAGCGAUUCUCUGGUCCUAGGUCUCUGCCCCCUUUCAUAUCAAGGCAUUCAACUAAGUGGUCAGCCUCCACUGUGCUUGUGUCUCUAGCCCAUUGCACUCGUGCUUCUGCCCCCGUUCGUCCACACUUAGCAGACAGUCUGUACGCGGCCCUUCUGCAGCCCAUGUGUCUCCAGUGGCUCUGCUUCGCUGCGGUCCUUGGCAGCGCCUGCAGCCCCUCCAGCCAUGUCCACGUUCGGCCCCUGGGGAGCUGGCCCUCCAGUGUUCUUCCCGUCUUUGCUGUUGCUGCUGUGCUCCUCGGAUAGAAACACCUCAGUGAGCUCUGUGUCUACAAUCCUGUCCCUUUGCAACACUGUCCUUGAUAAACAGACAUUGUGCACUUUAUUUCUCAGAAUUACCUUGGAGGACUUUUAUCUCCAGAAGAGCACCUCUGAGCUCUAGAGUCAGGAAAGCCAGAGCAGCGUCAGUGCACGGUAAAUCCAUCAUACUCUGCAGGCCCAGAAAUGCUGAGAUAAGGAUAAAUAGGAAAUGCGCAUGGGAUCAGUCAGUAGAGGUAGGGAUUAGGCUUUGGCAUUGGUCGCCGAGCGCUUGCCUUCCCUGCACACCAGUUCUGAUGCUCUGGGACGGGGCACACCGUGACAGGUCUCCAGACAUUUUGGGUUUCCUUACAGUGUGUUUCCUCACUACCUGACUGCCCAUCCUCAGAUGUGGGAUGCCUCAUAGAGCCCAGCAGGGGCUUUGGGGCCUUUGGUGGUUUUUUUUUUUUCUUUCACUGUUCAGCUUCCUUUUGAAUGGGGUUGACGCUUUCUAAUGUGGGGGGCAAGAGGGAAGUGUAUCCAGUCCACUUGAUGGCAGAUGCACUGUGAGUGAUUUCUCACCAGCUCCCGGAGCACUGCGCUUGCUCUUUCUGCCGUUGGGUAAAUGUAAACUUGGAGUCCGCUGCUCUGAGCGAUUUCCCAGGUUGCUGCUAGGCGGUCAGUUUUAGCUGAUUGAGGAGACAGCAGUAGUUGGUACUGGGGAGGUACUUGGGAGGGAGAAUGAGGCAGGCGGAGAAGAAGAGGGGGAUUCGGGUAUGAACGGUAGGACAGGGCAAGAGAGAGGAGGGGGUUAGAGAAUGGGAGAAGAAGGGCACGAAUGGGAGAGCCCGAGGAACAUGGUGGAAACAUGCAGUUGUACCCACACUGACCUAAAAUAGCUCCAUCCCAUUGCCUGGGCCCUGAGGCCCAGGCCAGGCUGCGUCGGUGGCUUCUAUGACCUCCCCGCUCCACACCCCUGGCACCUGGGGCCUGCUGCACAGACAGUUUGUCCUGAAAAUUGAUGGCGUGCAGGUGCAGGUGCCUGAGCGCUGUAAGGCAUGGGGGGCAGUGGGGGUGGCAGGUUUUAACUUUGGGAAUUACACUUCUCUAAUUGUUUCUACUAGCCCUCUCUGGACUAGACAGAUUUUGGAGAGAAUUGCCACAGAAUUUAACCAAUUACAGUUUCAUGCUGUUCAGAGCAAAGGCAUGCCUCUUCUGGACAAAGUAAGACCAAUAAGUGUUAAUUUCGAUUUUCAAUUUGCUGUUUGCGAAUUUCCUGGAUGAUUUUGGUUUGACCUAGCAUUGCCCCCUGAUAAUUGCUACUCUACAGGAUUUUGAAGCUAGCUUUGAAUUUUUUUUUUCAGUGUCUCCUGCUUGGGACCCUGCUUCCAUUAUGUCACACUAGAUAGAUUUUGUGUAAAGACACAAGCGUAGUCUCCAAACUAUGCAAGUAAAAUUAACUCUGAAUUUCAUGUAACUUGACACAUCAUAUGAUGUAGUCAGAGUUCAUUUAUCCAAAGCCCUUGACUGGGUUUAAAUGCACGUUUGUCAGAUUUACUCCGUAGCUUAAGAGGCAAAUAACUUUUUGUCGUUCAGUAAUUGUCUAAACUUCACUUUGAUGAAGCCGACUUACUUUCAAAGAAAUCACAGGGAGGGGAUGCCUCAGUGGCUCAGUCAGUUAAGCCAUUGCCUCUGGCUUAGGUCAUGAUCCCAUGGUCCUGGGAUUGAGUCCCACCUUGGCUUCCUUGCUUGGCAGGAAGCCUGCUUCUCUUUCUGCCUGUGCCUCCUUGUGUGCUUGUGCUCUCUCUCGACAAAUAAAUAAAUAAAAACCUUUAAAUAAAAAGAAAGAAAGAAAGAAAGCAAUCAUGGGGAGAAGAGAUUGAUUGUUAUUCUCUAGGAAAUGUUGGGAUUUUAAUCUUGCAUAUAUUCUGGUAGAAUUAGAGGCUCGCUUUAUAUAUAUAACACAUAUGUAUAUAAAUUAUACACAUAUAUUUGAGCUUUUAGAAACUGUUGUGCCUGGACCUUCUUUCCUGGUCUCUCUGUUCUUGCAGCAUAUAGCCCACAUUACAGCCAUGCUGCAGCAGUCCCUGGGAGGCCUGCUGCUAGAAGGGCUUCAGACUUCCAAUGUGGACAUCAUAUGGCACUGCCUCCGGACUUAUGCUACAAUUGACAAGACACGGGAUGCAGAGGCGUUAGUCGGUCAAGUACUGGUGAAACCGUACAUGGAUGAGGUUUGUGCCCCAUGCACCUCAUUCCGCAAACACAGAGCAUCUAAUCUGGCUUCGUUUCUUGACUGGGUGCGAGAGAGCUCAGGGCUCUUCCUUGAAGAUGCUCCUAGUUCCUGCUCUUCUGGUUGUAAGAAAAGGUGAUUGUAGAGCAGAUCGUUGAGUCUCAUCCGGACGGCCUGAAGAUCAUGUAUGCUAAUAAGCUCCUGAAGUUCGUUCCUCACCACUGCCGCCUUCUUCGAGAGGUCACAGGAGGAGCCAUCUCAAGGUGACAUAAACUGCUGUGUAUGCACCUGAGCUCAGUUUAGUGACCACCUGUCACCUCCUCAUGUGCCGCUGAUCCCUGGCUGUCCUGUCUGACCCGGGAACGUGUGCUCUUCCCUAUUUGUUACCAGUGCUGUGAGGCAGGUGUUGCUUGCCUGGGUUUACAGGGAAAGGGAAUGAAGAGUGGGGACAAAUCUCAACGGUGACAUUUGUGUAACUCCAGAGCCUCUGCUUUUCUCUUGUCUAUACUUUCUCCUUAACCAGGUUCAAAAUCAAAAUUGGUUUCCUUCCAUUAUUGUGAUGUCAUCAUCGGUCUAGAAAUACCAAUUCAUUUUAAUUCAACACGUUUUAUACUGAUGGCAAUUAAAGUCAUGUUCAGUUUUCCCUCCCUCUCUUAUUUCAUUUCCAUGGCUUUUCAGUUCUGUUUCAGGAAUAUCCCAUUACCUUCCACCAUCUCUGUCAUCCCAGUCCAGACCUUUGUCGCCUUUUGUUCGAGGGUAGCGGGCUCUCCCCACCUGGUCUCCCAGCUCCACCUGUCCCUCUUCAUUGCAGCCCUCCGCUGUCCCACCUUCCCAGAGCUCUGCAGCCUUCCUGAGUCGCUCGUGGCUUCUCAUCUCCCACAGAGGAGCAUCCAGUCUUCCUGGCGCAACCUGUGACCCAUGGUGCUUGAGUCCUAGUGGUUCUCCGCUGUAGAACUUUCUACUGUGGAACUUUCCCCCAUACCACUAUGGUUCCUGGCCAGACAGGAGCGCUUGACCUUCCCUAACACACCUGGUACAGAAGAUCCCUGACUUCACCUUGGUUCAGUUUAUGUUUUUUUGACUUUUUAUAAUAGUGCAGAAGUGAUAUGCAUUUAGUUUGGAUCUUUUCCCAGGCUGGCGAUCUACAGUAGGGUCCUCUUUUGUAAUGCUGGGCAGGGGCAGCGAGCACAGCCCCCAGGCAAACCACGUGAUCACGAGGGUCAGCAACCAACACACUUGAACCGUCCUGUUCUGGCUUUCAGUGCAGUGUUCAGUAAGUUACAUGAGAUACCAGACACUUUAUUGUGAAAUAGGCUUUGUGUUAGAGGAUUUUGCCCAACUGUGCAAUACUGUAAGUGUUCUCAACACAUUUAAGGUUGGCGGGGCUAAGCUCUGAUGUUCAGUCGCUUAGGUGUUUUCCAUGCAUUUUCAACUAAAGAGAUUUCCAGCUGAACAAUGGGUUUAUUAGAAGCCGAGGCCGUCAUAAGCCGAGGAACAUCUGUCUGUACUG
This is an RNA transcript of Mustela lutreola (European mink), 5253 nucleotides long. It is a transcript of the gene named conserved oligomeric Golgi complex subunit 2-like, with no coding region annotated. NCBI's taxonomy places the organism in Eukaryota, Metazoa, Chordata, Mammalia, Carnivora, Mustelidae. The transcript is spliced from 4 exons. The record is from RefSeq and is a predicted model, not a curated record.